RNAcentral lists this ribosomal RNA (251 nucleotides) under uncultured bacterium. Its description in RNAcentral is "partial 16S ribosomal RNA". It matches the Rfam family "Bacterial small subunit ribosomal RNA", at positions 524 to 776 of the family's 1533-position model. The record is from RNAcentral.
UACGAAGGGGGCUAGCGUUGUUCGGAAUCACUGGGCGUAAAGCGCACGCAGGCGGAUUGAUAAGUCAGGGGUGAAAUCCCGGAGCUCAACUUCGGAAUUGCCUUUGAUACUGUCUGUCUUGAGUCCGAGAGGUGAGUGGAAUUCCUAGUGUAGAGGUGAAAUUCGUAGAUAUUAGGAAGAACACCAGUGGCGAAGGCGGCUCACUGGCCCGGUACUGACGCUCAUGUGCGAAAGCGUGGGGAGCAAACAGG